This 78-nucleotide microRNA precursor is filed under the name Schistosoma margrebowiei. RNAcentral describes it as "mir-3492 microRNA precursor family". It matches the Rfam family "mir-3492 microRNA precursor family". The record is from Rfam by way of RNAcentral. Lineage: Eukaryota; Metazoa; Platyhelminthes; Trematoda; Strigeidida; Schistosomatidae.
AGCCUUCUGUAUCUGUGCUGAGAUUCCGUCACACACCAGACCACAAGGGCUGAUGAGACUUCCAAUAUAAGUGUUGCG